RNAcentral lists this ribosomal RNA (231 nucleotides) under uncultured bacterium. RNAcentral describes it as "partial 16S ribosomal RNA". It matches the Rfam family "Bacterial small subunit ribosomal RNA", at positions 104 to 334 of the family's 1533-position model. The record is from RNAcentral.
CGGGGUGAGUAACGCGUGGGUAACCUGCCUGUACAGGGGGAUAACAGUUGGAAACGGCUGCUAAUACCGCAUAAGCGCACGGCAUCGCAUGAUGCAGUGUGAAAAACUCCGGUGGUAUAAGAUGGACCCGCGUUGGAUUAGCUAGUUGGUGAGGUAACGGCCCACCAAGGCGACGAUCCAUAGCCGACCUGAGAGGGUGACCGGCCACAUUGGGACUGAGACACGGCCCAA